This is a long non-coding RNA of Astyanax mexicanus (Mexican tetra), 689 nucleotides long. RefSeq lists it as uncharacterized. The transcript has 2 exons. The record is from RefSeq and is a predicted model, not a curated record. NCBI's taxonomy places the organism in Eukaryota, Metazoa, Chordata, Actinopteri, Characiformes, Acestrorhamphidae.
CAGAGCUGUAUAUAUUUAAUUAAAGGAAAGCGCCGUGCUCUGUGGUUAGCCUGACCGUGACUGGCCUUGCCGAGGGCUGCGGAGAACCGCUGGCUUUGAACCCGGGGCAGAUGCCAACGGCUGCGCCAAAGGCAAGAACCAGCGGAAGAUUUAAGAAAUGCCUGAAGAAAGCUCUGUGAUGCUUUAAUAAGGAUUUUUCAAUGUUUCAGAUGCACCCCUCCGCCCCUUCACCCUCCCCUCCGGGCCUUUGCUUAACACUGGAGACAGCUGGAGAAAAAAACAACACGAAAACAGUGAAAGCUGGGCACGGCAGAGCUGUCCUCUCUUCCGGGCGUUCACCGCUCUUGUCUCUCCUUUACUCUUUUUAUAUCAUAUAAGUGAGAAAUGCUUGUCAGAGCCGUAUGAACUGAGCUGCAUUCCCUCAGGGUAACACACGGAUAAGAUCAGGCUAUUGUGUAGUUCAGAGAGCAGCGGAGAAGCAAACAAAGAGGAAACUGAAACUGUUGUGAAAUUGUUACUUUAGACCGUCUGUGAUCUCUUUCCAUACCUCUGUCUGAUGAUAUGCCUCCUCUCCUCUCAUGUUUAGCAGUCAACAAUCUCUCACCAGGAGGUGCGCUACCCAAAGUACUGAAGGAGUAGCCUGUGGGAGCCUGAAACUGUUGUUAAAUUAAACUGUAGCGUUAAACUGC